This 434-nucleotide ribosomal RNA is filed under the name Artemia urmiana. RNAcentral describes it as "partial large subunit ribosomal RNA". It matches the Rfam family "Archaeal large subunit ribosomal RNA", at positions 2000 to 2650 of the family's 2987-position model. The record is from RNAcentral. Lineage: Eukaryota; Metazoa; Arthropoda; Branchiopoda; Anostraca; Artemiidae.
UUAAAGGGCCGUGGUAUACUGACCAUGCGAAGGUAGCAUAAUCAUUAGCCUUUUGAUUUGAGGCUGGAAUGAAUGGUCUGACGAGAGGCAACCUGUCUCCUUAAUUAACUUGAAUUUAAUCUUUAAGUGAAAAAGCUUAAAUAGCCUUGGAGGACGAUAAGACCCUAUAGAUCUUUACAUCCGGCUUUUUCAUCUAACGGUGGGUAAUCGGGUGGAAGAGAAGGAUGUUUGGUUGGGGCGACGUCGAGAGGAGAAUAAACACUCGAGAAUAUACAUACAUCAAUAAAUGAUCAUUGAUCCUUAGAUGAAAAUAGAGUAAGUUACCUUAGGGAUAACAGCGUAAUUCUUUUUGAGAGCUCAAAUCGACAAAAGAGUUUGCGACCUCGAUGUUGGUUCAGGGACCCUAUUUGGUGCAGCAGCUUAAUCAGGUAGUC